GUGUUCGCUUCAGCAGCACAUAUACUAAAAUUGGAACGAUACAGAGAUUAGCAUGGUCCCUGUGCAAGGAUGACAUGCAAAUUCAUGAAGUGUUCCUUACUUUU
RNAcentral lists this small nuclear RNA (104 nucleotides) under Spermophilus dauricus (Daurian ground squirrel). The record is from RNAcentral. Lineage: Eukaryota; Metazoa; Chordata; Mammalia; Rodentia; Sciuridae.